This 440-nucleotide ribosomal RNA is filed under the name uncultured bacterium. RNAcentral's name for it is "partial 16S ribosomal RNA". It matches the Rfam family "Bacterial small subunit ribosomal RNA", at positions 338 to 794 of the family's 1533-position model. The record is from RNAcentral.
CCUACGGGAGGCAGCAGUGGGGGAUAUUGCACAAUGGCGGAAACCCUGAUGCAGCGACGCCGCGUGGGCGAAGAAGUAUUUCGGUAUGUAAAGCCCUAUCAGCAGGGAAGAAGAAAUGACGGUACCUGAGUAAGAAGCACCGGCUAAAUACGUGCCAGCAGCAGCGGUAAUACGUAUGGUGCAAGUGUUAUCCGGAUUAACUGGGUGAAAAGGGAGCGAAGGCGGCAAGGCGAGCCUGAUGUGAAAGCCCGCGGACCAACCACUGGACUGCAUUGGGAACUACCGGGCUGGAGUGCCAGAAAUGUAGGCGAAAUGCCUAGUGUAGCGGUGAAAUGCGUAGAUAUUAGGAGGAUCACCAGUGGCGAAGGCGGCCUACUGGACGGUGACUGACGCUGAGGCUCGAAAGCGUGGGGAGCAAACAGGAUGAGAUACCCCAUAGU